GAAAGCCACGAGUUUAGCUUCUACGAGUCGCAGAUGUUAUGCUGUAGUUUCGAGUGUCGAUAAGAAGCCCGAUAUUCUCCUAAUUGGUCGUUAGGAAAUACGCACAUAUGACCAAUGACCCAAUGCGACGCAGCAACAUUAUCCGCGGUGUCUCACAACGCGUAUAGUGUGUAGUUACACAUAAGGAUGUCUUACAGUUAGAAGGAUCUGUUUAUGGAGUGAGGAAAGUAAUGAACUUUGUGACAAGACGACAAACGACUGAUGAUGGGUUGAAUAAUUCAGCACUUGAUACUCGGUACUCGGCAUUUAUCCCAAAAUCUCGUUAUUCAGGAAAAAUUUCUACAUAUACAUAUAAAUAAUUGUUCUAAAGAUUACCUUUAUCUCUUUUUUUUCAAUAUCAAUUCCUGCGCAAGGCAACCGGAAACAAUUAUCGGCCCUGCAUUAAUGUCAAAGGUCGAUCCUCCGUCCACCGUAUGACGUAAUAAUUAGAACUUGUUUUUUAAAACAUUUAUUUUAUACACGUCGCCUGUUCCAUGUCGCGUAACGAUUUAAGGUUAACGAACACAUCGGGUGGUCUCACAUUCGAUUUUCGAUGUAGAUAAGCCCAUUAUUUACUGAAUAUGAUCAGGAAUAACCGUGAUCCCUUAAUAAAGAGGGAAGAACAGAUAAAGUAAAGGAAAGGCACGAAAAAAGUGUGUGUUUGCGAGAAAAAUUGGCAAUAUGUAUAUAAAAAAAUCACGAAUUCUUCUAGAAGGAUGGUAUCGUUAAAAGCGAUAGGUUCAAAACUCAAACACUUGUUUAUAUUUUUGAAAAGGAAUAUAUAGAAUUAGAAAAGAUCAUUUUAAAGAAAAAAGUACACAUAUUAAAACAAAAUUAAAACGUAACAAUGACGAAAUCGUAGAAUGCAAUUCUGUUAUUGAACAGAACGUUGAACGAUAAAGUGUACUAAAAUAUGGAAAAUGAAUAUAUGUAACAGUUUUAAGAAAUAAAAGUAAAGGUUAGUUAUCAUUGUAUGUACCCAGACGAAGAAACUGAAGAAACAUAUCUGUUGAUGUCCCCUCGAUUUAUCGCUAAAUGCACAUGUAUACAUGUACAUGUAUAUAUACGUAGGUAAUUUAAGAAAAAUUUUUUUUUCAUUGCAUCGGACAAUCAUAAUUUAUAUGUAUUUAUAUGUAUGUUUAACGUUGCAAUAAUAUUGUAAAAAAUCUUUUGGUUCCACUAAAUUUCGAUCCUUUCUAUUUUUCUAUUUUUAUCAAAGUAGGAUAAAAUUAAUGAAUAAAGUGAAAAUUAAAUACAGAACACAUAUAUAUUGUAUUCGAUCAAACACGUGAAUAUGUAUACGUGUGCCAAAAAUAAUCAGUAUCGAAGAAUAUUAUUUGUAAAUUAUUCAAAAAAUAUGAAAAACAUCACUUACCAGAAGAAAAAUAUAAUCAGUAGUAGAUUUUAGUCUAAGAUGUGUAAUAGAGUAGAUCGUUGGUUAAGCUGUUAGACAACGCGCAUGAA
Molecule: long non-coding RNA, 1503 nt
Organism: Bombus terrestris (buff-tailed bumblebee)
Lineage: Eukaryota; Metazoa; Arthropoda; Insecta; Hymenoptera; Apidae
Exons: 3
Source: RefSeq, a predicted model, not a curated record